UCGGAUAGUAUAUAUUCUCUUUCUCAUACACACAACGUAUUACAUCCUCACCUUCCUGAAACCCUAAAUCCCAAAAUACUCUGCUCUUCUUUUUCUUUUCCAUUGUUCAACGAUAAUAGAAGGGCUUGAUGUUAAUGACAUAUCUGAAGAUGCAAGACAAGAUGAAAAUGAAUCCUUAUUCAUCGAUCAAUUGUAGAAGAUAGUUACUACUGGGACGGAAUCUACUACAAAACUGGAAACAAUGGCUUUAAUAGGAAUGUAGUCGAAGUGGAAUUGUUGGUGUUACCAAACCACGUUGUGUGGCGGUUUCCGCAAACGCAAGGGUUGUUCACAAGCCGAGCUGAAUUAUGGCAGAUUGAUUAAAAAAUCUUUCCAAUU
Molecule: long non-coding RNA, 378 nt
Organism: Helianthus annuus (common sunflower)
Lineage: Eukaryota; Viridiplantae; Streptophyta; Magnoliopsida; Asterales; Asteraceae
Exons: 5
Source: RefSeq, a predicted model, not a curated record